UACGUAGGGUGCGAGCGUUAAUCGGAAUUACUGGGCGUAAAGCGUGCGCAGGCGGUUCGCCAAGUCAGGUGUGAAAUCCCCGGGCUUAACCUGGGAAUUGCGCUUGAAACUAGCGGGCUUGAGUGUGGCAGAGGGGGGUGGAAUUCCACGUGUAGCAGUGAAAUGCGUAGAUAUCAAGUGGAACACCAGUGGCGAAGGCGAGUCUCUGGACGACACCUGACGCUGAGGCACGAAGCCAGGGGAGCAAACGGG
This 252-nucleotide ribosomal RNA is filed under the name uncultured prokaryote. Its description in RNAcentral is "partial 16S ribosomal RNA". It matches the Rfam family "Bacterial small subunit ribosomal RNA", at positions 524 to 776 of the family's 1533-position model. The record is from RNAcentral.